RNAcentral lists this small nuclear RNA (104 nucleotides) under Microcebus murinus (gray mouse lemur). Lineage: Eukaryota; Metazoa; Chordata; Mammalia; Primates; Cheirogaleidae. The record is from RNAcentral.
UAUUUUCAGGGAAACACGGUACUAAAAUUGGAAGGAUACAGGGAAGAUUAGCAUGGCCCCAGCACAAGGAAGACAUGUAAAUUUGUGAAGCGUUCCAUAUUUUG